GACAGAGGGUGCAAACGUUGUUCGGAAUUACUGGGCGUAAAGCGCGUGUAGGCGGCCCUGCAAGUCGGGUGUGAAAUCCCACGGCUCAACCGUGGAAGUGCAUUCGAAACUGCAGGGCUAGAGUCCUGGAGAGGAAGGUGGAAUGCUUGGUGUAGAGGUGAAAUUCGUAGAUAUCAAGCGGAACACCGGUGGCGAAGGCGGCCUUCUGGACAGUGACUGACGCUGAGGCGCGAAAGCCAGGGGAGCGAACGGG
RNAcentral lists this ribosomal RNA (253 nucleotides) under uncultured bacterium. RNAcentral's name for it is "partial 16S ribosomal RNA". It matches the Rfam family "Bacterial small subunit ribosomal RNA", at positions 524 to 776 of the family's 1533-position model. The record is from RNAcentral.